CAAGCUUCACAAUCAAAUAAGUUCUCUACAUUUUCAAUAUUUUCCAAUGGAUUCUCUAUGCGUGCUCAAUUGUUUCUCCGUCACAAGAAUGCAUCUCCUAUAGAAACCCAUUCAGCAAGGGAAUUCACCGUAAUAGGACAAAAAAACGUUUCGGGUUGUGGAUUUUUUGAAGCCAAUAGUUACUCUAAUCGUGGUCAUUUCUUGAUAUUUCAACAUAAACUCUCCCAUUGUCUGUGAUGUGUCCACCCUAACCAGGUUAUAUAUAUGUAGUUUCUUAGAAUUUUGUUUUAUUUUAUUUAUUUAUUUAUUUAUUUUUGUAAAUUUCCUUAAAAUCUAUGUUUUAGAAUUGUGUAUGUAUUGAUGAUAUCGAUUCGGGCCAUGAAUUCUAGUAUUGCAUCUUUACUUGGGUAUUAUCAUGCUUACUUGAUUCUAUAUAUAUUCGGGCUUCUUUAUUUUUGCACAUAAGAUGUUUGACAAAAUGUCUAAAAGAAACAUUAUGAAGCUAACAUAACAAUAUUUGUUCUCUAGAGAAGAAGAGACGGGGGGAAAUGGAAAUGAAGUCAAUGACGUCUCAUGGGCAGGUUCAGCUGACUCUUCGACUAAACCAUCAAGUUAAAUUUGGUGAGCACGUUGGAGUCUUGGGGUCCCAAAAGAAUUCGACUCGUGUAAGAAGAAGAACAAGAUGGGUGGUCCAAUGGUGCCUUCUAUUAUGCUUCGUUUUUUUUGUAACGUGUUUGCGGAGGGACCAAAUGACUCCAAACUUGGACUAAAAACCACCAUUUGUGUAAUUGUUUCUAGAUUACUAGUGUUUCCUGUAUAAUGAAUUUUAGUUGUAACUUUUGUGGCAAUUUGAGUUCUAUAUUACAAGUGCUUCCUUUGUAGACAUGUAUAUAUAAAAUGAUGUUUUCAUAGGAUAAAAUUUCAUUUUUCACAUGCAAA
RNAcentral lists this long non-coding RNA (939 nucleotides) under Lactuca sativa (garden lettuce). Its description in RNAcentral is "long non-coding RNA (LSAT_LNC000059)". Lineage: Eukaryota; Viridiplantae; Streptophyta; Magnoliopsida; Asterales; Asteraceae. The record is from RNAcentral.